Molecule: ribosomal RNA, 249 nt
Filed under: uncultured Polynucleobacter sp.
Lineage: Bacteria; Pseudomonadati; Pseudomonadota; Betaproteobacteria; Burkholderiales; Burkholderiaceae
Description: partial 16S ribosomal RNA
Rfam family: Bacterial small subunit ribosomal RNA
Source: RNAcentral
UGGGGAAUUUUGGACAAUGGGGGAAACCCUGAUCCAGCAAUGCCGCGUGAGUGAAGAAGGCCUUCGGGUUGUAAAGCUCUUUUGUCAGGGAAGAAACACCGGCUCUAACACAGUCCGGGAAUGACGGUACCUGAAGAAUAAGCACCGGCUAACUACGUGCCAGCAGCCGCGGUAAUACGUAGGGUGCGAGCGUUAAUCGGAAUUAUUGGGCGUAAAGCGCGCGCAGGUGGGAUAUUAAGGCUGGGGUUA